Long non-coding RNA from Macaca fascicularis (crab-eating macaque), 1584 nucleotides. NCBI's taxonomy places the organism in Eukaryota, Metazoa, Chordata, Mammalia, Primates, Cercopithecidae. The record is from Ensembl.
UUUUUUUUUUUUUUUUUAAAUAUUAACUGUUAGCCUCAGGCAGGUCCUGCAGGAGGUAUCCAGAAGAAGGCCUUGUUAUCAUAAGAGAUGACAGCUCCAUGGAUGUUAUUGCUCCUGAAGACCCUUCAGUGGGACAAGAUGUGGAGGUGGAAGACAGUGAUAUUGAUGAUCCUGACCCUGUGAAGGCCUAGGCUAAUGUGUGUGUUUGUGUCUUAGUUUUUAACAAAAACAUUUAAAAAGUAAAAAUAUAGGCCAGGUACAGGGGCUCACACUUGUAAUCCCAACACCUUGGGAGGCCAAGACAGGAGGAUUGUUUGAGGCCAGGAGUUCAAGACCAACUUGGGUAAUAUAGUGAGAACCUGUCUCUACCCAAAAAAAAAAAAAAAAAGGUAAAAAUUUAAAACAUUUAAAAAUAGAAAAAUCCUUAUAGAAUAAGGAUACAAAGAAUAUUUUAGACAGCUACACAAUGUAUGUGUUAAGUGUUGUUACAAGAGUCAAAAAGCCAAAAAAAUUUAAAGUUAAUAAAGGGACAGUAAGCUAAGGUUAAUUUAUUAUUGAAGACGGAACCAUAUGGUAUAAAUAUAGUGUAGCCUAAGUGCACAGCAUCUGUCAAGUCUCCAGAAGUGCACAGUAAUGUCCUAGGUCUUCAUAUUCACUCACCACAUACUCACUCACUCACUCACUCACCAGAGCCACUGCCGGCCCUGCAAGUUCCAUGCGUGUUAAGUGCCCUACAGAGGUGUACCAUUUUUGUCUUUUAUACCAUAUUUUUACUGUACCUUUUCUAUGCUGUGUUUAGAUAUGUUUAGAUAAACAAAUACCACUGUGCUAUAGUUGCCUACAGUAUUCAGUACAGUAAUACGCUGUACAGAUGUGCAGCCUAGGAACCACAGGCCAUACCAUUAUAGUCCAGGUGUGUAGCAGGCUAUACCAUCUAGAUUUGUCCAAGGGCACUCUCUGAUGUCCACAUAACAACAGAUUUGCUUAACCAUACAUUUCUCAGAACACAUCCCUGUUGUUAAGCAACACUUGACUGUGUACGAAGCAAGUUUAGUCAUGAGCUGAUAAUUAUUCAACCCGAGUAAGGAGAACUCCCAACACUUUGGGAGGCCGAGGCAGGUGGAUCACCUGAGGUCAAGAGUUCGAGACCAGCCUGACCAACAUGGAGAAACCCCAUCUCUACUAAAAAUACAAAAAAUUAGUCGGGCGUGGUGGCACAUGCAUGUAAUCCCAGCUACUUGGGAGGCUGAGGCAGGAGAAUCGCUGGAACCCGGGAGGCGGAGGUUGAAGUGAGCCAAGAUCGCACCACUGCACUCCAGCCUCGGCAACAAGAGCAAAACUCUGUCUCAAAAAAAAAAAAAAAAAAAGAAAAAGAAAAAAAAGGAGAACUCAUGGGGGUUUAUUAUAUUUUUAUUUCUCUCUACUUUUCUUAUGUUUCCAAUUUUCCAUGAUAAAGAAUAAGUAGGGGGUUGGAAGGAUUGAGGGAGGAAGAGAGGAAGGAAGGGAGUAAGGGAGGGAAGGAUGGGGAGAGAGGAGAGAGAGAAGGGAAGGGAAGCGGGUAGGACAGAGUCCAAAAACAGGACC